GGUUGUGGCUCAGCAGUAGAGUGCUCGUCUCGCACAGGCAAGACCCUGGGUUCAAUUCUCAGCACCA
RNAcentral lists this transfer RNA (67 nucleotides) under Marmota monax (woodchuck). RNAcentral's name for it is "tRNA.Ala". The record is from RNAcentral. Lineage: Eukaryota; Metazoa; Chordata; Mammalia; Rodentia; Sciuridae.